RNAcentral lists this ribosomal RNA (816 nucleotides) under Reticulitermes speratus. Its description in RNAcentral is "partial 16S ribosomal RNA". The stretch from base 433 to 595 matches the Rfam family "Archaeal large subunit ribosomal RNA", at positions 1883 to 2090 of the family's 2987-position model. Lineage: Eukaryota; Metazoa; Arthropoda; Insecta; Blattodea; Rhinotermitidae. The record is from RNAcentral.
UUCCCGAUUCUAAAAGGAGCUAUUAACUUAUUUUAGUUGUUGUUUUAUUAACAUUAAUAAUAGGUUAGUAGUGGUGAAAUGUUAUUCGUCUUUAGGGGUUUCUGGUUUUUCAAGAAAUGAAUUUAAUUCAUGCGUCUUAUUUAGAGUUUUAUUAUUUGUUUAUUUAUUUUUAUUUGGCGUUAAGAUUGGGGGGGAUUAGCUUCUUAUUUUAUUUUUAUAAUUUUUUGUUUAUUUAGUCUUGUGGGUUUUAUAGUGAUUUUCAAUUUGAUUAUGUUAAAAUUUUAUUUGUUUUGUUCUUUAUUUUUAUUUAUUUAAUUAUUUAUUGAAAUGUAUUCUUUAUUUUGUUUUGGUUAGUAAUUAUUGUAGAAUUAGUAAAUUUGUUGUUAGGUUGUUUUAUUUGUGUUAAUUUUCUUUGAGGAACUAGGCAAAUUUCAUGUCCGCCUGUUUAACAAAAACAUCUUUUCUCGUUAGUUUUUGAAGUAUGGCCUGCCCACUGACUUUGGUGUUGAAGGGCCGCGGUAUUUUGACCGUGCAAAGGUAGCAUAGUCAUUAGUUCUUUAAUUGUGAUCUGGUAUGAAUGGCUUGACGAGGCAUGGGCUGUCUUAAUUUUGAAUUGUUUAUUGAAUUUGGUCUUUGAGUUAAAAUUCUUAGAUGUUUUUAUGGGACGAGAAGACCCUAUAGAGUUUAACAUUUGUUAUGGUCCCUUUCUGUUUGUGAGGGUUCACUGGGCCGUCUAAUAUGUUUUGUUGGGGUGAUGGGAGGGAUAUAAUUUAACCCCUCCUUUUUAUUAUUAUAUUUAUUUAUAUUUACUUGAUC